This 62-nucleotide transfer RNA is filed under the name Cricetulus griseus (Chinese hamster). It matches the Rfam family "tRNA", at positions 6 to 65 of the family's 71-position model. From Rfam's summary of the family: Transfer RNA (tRNA) molecules are approximately 80 nucleotides in length. Their secondary structure includes four short double-helical elements and three loops (D, anti-codon, and T loops). Lineage: Eukaryota; Metazoa; Chordata; Mammalia; Rodentia; Cricetidae. The record is from Rfam by way of RNAcentral.
UGUGGCUCAAUUGGUAGAGUGCCUGCCUACCAUACAUGAAGUCCUGGGUUCCAGCCCCAGCA